UACACUCCUGCGGGAGGCAGCAGUGGGGAAUUUUGGACAAUGGGCGAAAGCCUGAUCCAGCCAUGCCGCGUGCAGGAUGAAGGCCUUCGGGUUGUAAACUGCUUUUGUACGGAACGAAACGGCCUUUUCUAAUAAAGAGGGCUAAUGACGGUACCGUAAGAAUAAGCACCGGCUAACUACGUGCCAGCAGCCGCGGUAAUACGUAGGGUGCAAGCGUUAAUCGGAAUUACUGGGCGUAAAGCGUGCGCAGGCGGUUAUGUAAGACAGUUGUGAAAUCCCCGGGCUCAACCUGGGAACUGCAUCUGUGACUGCAUAGCUAGAGUACGGUAGAGGGGGAUGGAAUUCCGCGUGUAGCAGUGAAAUGCGUAGAUAUGCGGAGGAACACCGAUGGCGAAGGCAAUCCCCUGGACCUGUACUGACGCUCAUGCACGAAAGCGUGGGGAGCAAACAGGAUUAGAUACCCGAGUAGUCC
RNAcentral lists this ribosomal RNA (472 nucleotides) under uncultured organism. RNAcentral's name for it is "partial 16S ribosomal RNA". It matches the Rfam family "Bacterial small subunit ribosomal RNA", at positions 332 to 796 of the family's 1533-position model. The record is from RNAcentral.